GGUAUUUCCGGCAAGAGUCAAGUUCUUUUUGCACUGGUAUUCACCACACGAUACCUUGAUCUUUUUAUGUCGUAUAUAUCACUUUAUAAUUCUGUUAUGAAAUGUAUAUUCAUUGCGUGCUCAUAUGCAACUGUCUAUCUGAUCUUUGUGAAAUUUAAAGCAACGUACGAUUCAAAUCACGACACAUUCCGAAUGGAGUUCAUUGUUGUCCCCGUUGCUGGUCUUGCUGUUCUUGUUAACCAUAGUUUGACGCUUGUUGAGGUAAUAAGAGACAAAACUAAAUUUAUUUAUACUGGAUUGAUCUGUCAGUUAUAUCUGGUAGUAUUUUUACUCCUCCAGUGACUGAGGUGAAAUUAUAAUCAAACAACUGCAUGAAACAAGGACACAUAACAAUUGGGUUGAACACAAGUAUUUUACAGGGACCUGUUGCUAAAUUUAUUAAUUAAAUUAACUAAUAUUCCCAAACUUCCCAAAGGUUUUGUGGACGUUUUCCAUCUACCUUGAGUCGCUGGCCAUUCUACCGCAGCUGUUCAUGAUCUCAAAGACAGGAGAGGCAGAGACAAUUACAAGUCAUUAUCUGUUCGCCCUUGGUUCUUACCGAGCUCUGUACUUAGCCAAUUGGAUUCUGCGCUAUGCUUCCGAAGGGUUCUAUGACCUUAUUGCUGUCGUCGCAGGAUGUGUGCAGACUGUUCUCUACUGUGAUUUCUUCUAUCUGUAUAUUACUAAAGGUAGGUUAGGAAUUGGUUGGUGAUAAUGAUGAUGUUGAUGAUAAUGGUGAUGGUGGUGGUUAUCUUGAUGAUGAUAAUGAUGGUUGUGAUGAUAGUUGUGAUGGUAGUUAGUGGUGAUGAUGAUGGUGAUGAUGAUGAUGAUGGUGGUGAUGAUGGUGGUGGUGGUGAUAAUGAUGAUGAUGGUGGUGGUGGUGAUAAUGAUGAUGAUGGUGGUGAUAAUGAUGAUGAUGGUGGUGAUAAUGAUGAUGAUGGUGGUGAUAAUGAUGAUGGUGAUGAUGGUGGUGGUGAUGGUGGUGAUAAUGAUGAUGAUGGUGGUGAUAAUGAUGAUGGUGAUGAUGAUGAUGGUGGUGAUGAUGAUGGUGAUGGUGGUGAUAAUGAUGAUGAUGGUAGUGAUGAUGGUGGUGAUGAUGGUAAUGAUGAUAGUAAUGAUGAUGGUGGUGGUGAUGAUGGUGGUGAUGAUGAUGGUAAUGAUGAUGAUGGUCAUGAUGAUGAUGAUGAUGACAAUCUAGUAAAACCAGUUUUAUUUCUUUUUUAGUUUUGAAAGGAAAGUCAUUGAAACUACCAGCAUAAGAAAGUGUCUGGCUGCUAUAAAGACUUGAAAACAAACUAUUACACUCUAUGAAUUGUACUGUAUGUUAAUAAUGCUAACAUAACAAUCUAAAAUGAAUUUAUUGCUCACAGUUUGGGCAUUUGCAUACAUCCUCAUUUCUUUGGUCUUUGUUAAAAUAAUUGUUAAAGUAAGUAACAUUGAUGUAUGCAGGUGUGAAACAGUUUGCACAUUUUACCUGCAUAGCUGGGUCAGCGGCGCACAUUCAACAAAUUGCUUGGGGGACAAUCUAGGAGCUACUUUCUUAUUGUGCAACAGACAUUUGUGGGUACACAAUAGCACAAAAAUAUGGAAAUGCAUGGGUUGUAAGUUCUCAGGUUAUGUUAAUAUUGAAUUUUUACAUAUUGCCAACAUACUUGUCAAUCCAAAUUUACUGAUAGGAUUUGAAUAACUCUUAUCGCAGAAAAUUGGAACUGACUUUUGGCACACUCUUAAAGAAAACUGGGACUGAUGUUUUGUGACCCCCCCCCCCCUCAAAAUGUACACUUUUGAGCUGGGUUUCACUAAGAAAUAUCUUGGAGCAGAUGGUGGCAACUGGCAGUUACCAACCAGAGUGAGAAAAUAAUAUUAAAUUUACUUCAAAAUAACAAAGGGAAAAGACAUUAAUAAGUUAAAUUCUUAAAAUUGAAGUUGCCUGCCAUCUGCUGCCCUUAUUGCUUAUUGAAACCAACCAUGACGCUUGCUGACAUACUGUAGUAAAGUUUUUUUAUCUUUCAAGAUAUAUAGUAAAUAAAGAAUUUAGAAUCUGAUUUCAGGAUUACUUUAAAAUAAAGAAAUUUAAGAGAUUUUGUAUCACCAUUAAUACCAUACGUGUUAAAUAAGUUAUAGCUACGAGAUUUGUCGCCAUAGUAUUGCUGCAUAAUAGAGAGCUGUUUCAAAUGUUGAGUUCUUAUUAAUACGGUUAUUACAAAUUUUU
Molecule: long non-coding RNA, 2251 nt
Filed under: Paramuricea clavata
Lineage: Eukaryota; Metazoa; Cnidaria; Anthozoa; Malacalcyonacea; Plexauridae
Source: RNAcentral